GCAGCGGUUCAGGCAAUCGCCGGCGAACUUCGGUUCGCGGGAGGAAAGUCCGAGCUCCACAGGGCAGAGUGCCGGGUAACGCCCGGUGAGGGUGACCUCGAGGAGAGUGCAACAGAGAAGAAACCGCCGGCACGCGAAAGCCUGUCGGUAAGGGUGAAACGGUGGGGUAAGAGCCCACCGCGCUUUCGGUAACGGAAGUGGCACGGCAAACCCCACACGGAGCAAGGCCAUAUAGGGAGGCGCAGGGAUUGAAAAAUCCUGAAAGGGUGGCCCGCCCGAUGCCUCCGGGUAGGCUGCUGGAGGCACACAGCAAUGUGUGUCCUAGAGGAAUGAUUGUCGGUGCGUCGGGGGUGACUUCGACGCAAUACAGAACUCGGCUUACGAGCCACUGCGACC
This 396-nucleotide RNase P RNA is filed under the name Polyangiaceae bacterium. Its description in RNAcentral is "RNase P RNA component class A". It matches the Rfam family "Bacterial RNase P class A". Rfam says of the family: Ribonuclease P (RNase P) is a ubiquitous endoribonuclease, found in archaea, bacteria and eukarya as well as chloroplasts and mitochondria. Its best characterised activity is the generation of mature 5'-ends of tRNAs by cleaving the 5'-leader elements of precursor-tRNAs. Lineage: Bacteria; Pseudomonadati; Myxococcota; Polyangiales; Polyangiaceae. The record is from RNAcentral.